Molecule: non-coding RNA, 103 nt
Organism: Acaromyces ingoldii
Lineage: Eukaryota; Fungi; Basidiomycota; Exobasidiomycetes; Exobasidiales; Cryptobasidiaceae
Source: the annotation of a RefSeq genome assembly
GCGUUGAUAGUGUAGCGGUUAUCAUUUUAGCCUUCCAUAGUUUACAUGUAUAGAUACAUGCUUGGUAGAGCUGAAGACCGGGGUUCGACUCCCCGUCAACGCA